RNAcentral lists this ribosomal RNA (1390 nucleotides) under uncultured bacterium. RNAcentral describes it as "16S ribosomal RNA". It matches the Rfam family "Bacterial small subunit ribosomal RNA". The record is from RNAcentral.
AGAGUUUGAUCCUGGCUCAGGAUGAACGCUAGCGGCAGGCUUAACACAUGCAAGUCGAGGGGCAGCGGGGAGUAGCAAUACUCUGCCGGCGACCGGCAAAAGGGUGCGUAACACGUGAGCAACUUGCCCGUGACAGGGGGAUAAGCAUUGGAAACGAUGUCUAAUACCGCGUAACAACUUUAGAGGCAUCUUUAGAGUUUGAAAGACACGUCAGUCACGGAUGGGCUCGCGGGACAUUAGCUAGUUGGAGUGGUAACGGCACACCAAGGCGACGAUGUCUAGGGGUUCUGAGAGGAAGAUCCCCCACACUGGAACUGAGACACGGUCCAGACUCCUACGGGAGGCAGCAGUGAGGAAUAUUGGACAAUGGAAGGAAUUCUGAUCCAGCCAUGCCGCGUGAAGGACUAAGGCCCUAUGGGUCGUAAACUUCUUUUGACGCAGAGCAAUAAGGUGUACGAGAUGCACCGAUGAGAGUAUGCGUGGAAUAAGCAUCGGCUAACUCCGUGCCAGCAGCCGCGGUAAUACGGAGGAUGCGAGCGUUAUCCGGAUUUAUUGGGUUUAAAGGGUGCGUAGGCGGGUAUGUAAGUCAGCGGUGAAAUGUACCGGCUCAACCGGUGAGCUGCCGUUGAUACUGUAUACCUAGAAUGCGGAUGCCGUGGGAGGAAUGAGUAGUGUAGCGGUGAAAUGCAUAGAUAUUACUCAGAACACCGAUUGCGAAGGCAUCUCACGAAUCCGCAAUUGACGCUGAGGCACGAAAGCGUGGGGAUCAAACAGGAUUAGAUACCCUGGUAGUCCACGCAGUAAACGAUGAUGGCUAACCGCCGGCGAUAUAGUGUCGGUGGCCAAGCGAAAGCGAUAAGCCAUCCACCUGGGGAGUACGACCGCAAGGUUGAAACUCAAAGGAAUUGACGGGGGCCCGCACAAGCGGAGGAACAUGUGGUUUAAUUCGAUGAUACGCGAGGAACCUUACCCGGGCUCGAACGGCAAAUGAAUAAGUAAGAGAUUGCUUAGUCUACGGACAUCUGUCGAGGUGCUGCAUGGUUGUCGUCAGCUCGUGCCGUGAGGUGUCGGCUCAAGUGCCAUAACGAGCGCAACCCUUGCCGUCAGUUACCAUCAAGUGAAGUUGGGGACUCUGGCGGGACUGCCACCGCAAGGUGAGAGGAGGGGGGAUGACGUCAAAUCAGCACGGCCCUUACGCCCGGGGCGACACACGUGUUACAAUGGCAGGUACAGCGGGAAGGCGCUCGGCGACGGGCGUCGGAACCCGAAAACCUGUCUCAGUUCGGAUCGGAGUCUGCAACCCGACUCCGUGAAGCUGGAUUCGCUAGUAAUCGCGCAUCAGCCAUGGCGCGGUGAAUACGUUCCCGGGCCUUGUACACACCGCCCGUCA